UCUCCCAACACUGCGCUCCGCUCUCCUUCCUUGCGCCUCAAGUGACCGGAGACGCGCAAAAUCCCCACCAAGCGAUGUGUCCCCCCUAUAUUGGCAUUGAAUGGGAUAAAGUACUUUUUUCUUCUUCUUUUCUUUCUCAGGGAAUCCUCAAAGUGGCUUCGCGGUGGUGAAGAAGAAAGGAUAAAAAAAAAAUUCUCAGAGAGGAUAAAAGGACAAGGGAUGGCAGUAAGGGUGUCACUGUCCAGAACCACUCCUCUGAAACACAGGAACACGCCUGCCUGAUUGCUGCCGGACGACGAGUCCGCGCGAUAGGGAGCAUUUGGAAGAGGAGGUCAGUGCAUCACUGUCGUCAUCGCCAAUGCCUCCACGAUGAGAGCAUUGUUGGCUCGGAACCAAGCACAUCAACUGGUCAAAAAGGACAGACCCAGGGUCGAGGGCGAUGAAGAGGAGGUCGUGCGAAAGGGAGGGCAGAGGAUGGGGAGGUCGGAAUGCAACGGGCCAAGGAGCAGAUGUUCUCACACGUUCUAUUUCCCCCCAAGGAGGAUGUAAACAAUAAUACAAUGUUGGUGCAGAGAUUUGCAACCUCAAGGGCUGCGAUCUGGCGCAUUUGACCUCAGCCGGAACCAACAAGCUGCCGGCAUGGGUAUAUGAGGGACCAUAUGCAGACACACACACACACACACACACACACACACACACACACACACACACACACACACAAACACACAGCAAGAGUGUGCACAUCACCCUCUGCUAAGAAGUUUCACUCAUCUCUCAUCUCUCUGUCCUCAUUCUCUCACCUGUCCAUGUCAUUCUUCACUACUUUACUUUCGCAUUAACCAUCAGUUAGUCUCUUACACAGACACACGCACACACACACGCCUCCACAUCAGCCAUCAGUUUGUCCGACAGACACAUAAAUGUACAUCUUCACUUUCACGCACAGACCAACCCCUUCACAUCACACGUCAACUAGCCCAGAAAUCACACACACUUGCCCACACACACACACACACACACACACACACACACACAAUGCAUCACACAUCAGUUAUAUAUUUUAGUCUGAAGGAGAAAGGGGUUUGUUGGCAGCGGGGGAGGGGGGGGGGGGGGGGUUGACAGGGGAGAAGAGGAAGUACACAGGAAGUACAUUAGUUAUCACUCCCAUGUCUUCUCCACCUUUUCACGUCUUAUCACCACCCGACGUCUAAGACCCCAGCCAAGCUGCUACUUCUUCUUAUCCCACCCCUUUCCCUUUUCUCUCUCUGUCUCUCUCUUUCACACACACACACACACACUGACACACACACACACGCCUCUGAAAAUGACUUCCGCGCUCCACUUUCGUGUCGGGCCCUGGGAUCUAGAUGACACUUGGCAAGCCACAGAAGCCGCAAGACAACUGGAUGAAAUAUUUAAAUGAAAGACGGCAGGGGUAGAAGAGGUGAAGAAAGGAAGAAAGGGGGACAAGAGGGGGAGACAUGAAUACAGGACAGAGGACAGGGGAAGGAGAGAGUGACGAUAUUCAGAUGGCGAGCAGAAUGUGACGGAUUUUUGGCAGAGAGAGGGCUGCGCGACGAGAAGUGCAGACGAAUUGGCUUUCACCUUGGAAGAAGCCUGAAGAGAUAUAUUCCAAUGUAGUAUGAGAUCACAUCGCUUUAUUUUGGAAUCAUCAGCGAGUCUCAGUAUGUAUCAAAGCACAUUCAGCAGUGUGCCAGUUAAGCUGCAUAGAGGAGGACAAUAAAUCUAACAUACAACCAGAUGAAAUGUAAUUUAGUUACAGUGAUUUUGAAACUUUAGAAAAAGGUUCUAUCUGACUUUUUUCUCAACAAGACUAAAAGACUUAAGACUAAAGUCUAGCUAGCCCUUAAAGGGGCAGUAAGCAAUUUUUUGACUGCACUGAUCAGGGCUCUAACCUGCAGCCUUGCGUAUGGAAGACGGACGCGGUAACCACAAGGCCAAAACCUAUAAGUCAUAGCGUCUGUCGCUAGCGCCUCUCCAAAGGCUGAGCCGGAAAAAUGGCGCACAGAACAGACAGCUAGGAAAUAUUCGCAGAAUUUUAUAAAAGUGUAUUGGAUCCAAAUCGGUUAUUACCCCUUUAAGGCCGACUGUAUGUAACGAUGGAUGUACAAAAAUUAAGUCAAAAUAUUGUUGGCGUGGGCGCGGCCAUCUUGCACUGGUGAUGUCAUUUGUAUGCAGAGUCCACGCAGUAGUGAUAGGGGGAGUAGGGACACAGAUACAGCUACCUAGCUAUUCAGGAGUCAAUCACCCACUUUUAAUUUUCAUAGCAUUAAAUAUCUAAUAAAAAACGAAUUCAUCAGAACAUGAGACCAUGAACGUACAUCAGUGUGAAAAUAACAGAAAGCAGUUUUGGGUGAAAUGUUUUUAACGUGUAAUUUGACUUUGUCAUUCUAUCUGUUAACAUGGAGGAGGCGGAGUUUGUGACAUAUAAGGCAGCCAGCCACCAGGGGGCGAUCAAGAUUUUUGGCUUAGUUUUUGGAGAGCUGUCACGCCGUCUAUCUUCAUAUACAGUCCUCUGGCUAUACUAAAUGCUUAUGGACAACAUGCUUAAUGACAAAGCUAACAUGCUGAAGUUUAGCUGGUGUAAUGCAAACUACAUUCAUAAUCCUGAUACAUGCUAGCAUAUACACUUGAUAGUAUAAACUUGCUCAAUGGCACUGCACAGAAAGUAUCUCUGAGGCUGAUGGGAUGUAAUGGAUUUUGCAGAUAUUUGGUGAUGAGAGGAAAAACAUGGCCCGAUGAUGGUGAUACAUGAAAAGUCAUCCCAUCUCAUCCUAAAGGGCACAUAAAUGUCUACACCAAUCUUACAGUCGAUCCAUCUAAUAUCUGUCGACAUGUUUCACUCAAAGCCACAAAUGUCAACCUCAAAGGAGCUCCCGAGGAAAAGUUAGCAGAUCAAUAAUAUCUGUAGGAGUCAUCAUUUUGGAAUCAUGAAUGUCAAAAAAUUUUGCAUCACCCAUCCAGUAGAUGUUGAGAGGAUUUAACGCAAUGACCUAAAGACUCUGGUGGAAGUAGAUAAAAAACAAAGGGAACAUUUGAAUUCACACUCUGAUCUAAAGACAUAUGGUACAAAUUUCCAUAGGUAUCUUAGAUAUUUGAUUUUCUCUUUUUAAAACAUGUUGUAACAUGGCUUGAAAAUCUAACAAAUAAACCAACAAACAAACAUCAUAAGAAUCGUAUUAUUGUCCAGACAUGUCAUUAAACUCCAAGUAUGGCCCCCUUAGGGUGGUGCUAAUUCAAAAUCAGUAGCAUUUAACCUUGUGGGACCAUGAGUGUCUUACAAAAUUUCAUGGCAAUCCACACAAUAGUUGUUAGAAUAUAGAAUGAUGGAUCAACAAACAGAGGCAUCCCACUAGCAUGACUAAAAUGAUGUGAGAGUUCUGAUAAGUCAUUAACAUUUUGUAUAUGUUUAUGUUAAAAUUUUAUUCGACAAUAUUCUGAAAGGACAAAAAGGGUCUAUCUCCAAAUCCUAUAUUAUAUGUCUUGGUUUUAUAAGGUUCCAACAGCAAAGCCAAUUCAUGCACUUUUCCUUUUUACCAUGAUGCCACACUGCAAUGUGACUGAGAUUAAAAUAGCUUUAGAUGAUACAAUGGACUUUCUAAAACUAAUAAUUUUAUUGAAAACAUUUUGAAUGGCACUGAUACGAAUUUAAACUAAGUUGAGCAAAAUUUUUCAGUUAUGUUCUAACUAGAUGGAAGGCACAUUAGAUUAUUUUAAAACUCAAGCUAAUGUUAAUUAGCACGUGUUGAUGUUUGUAUUAGUAGCUCAACGUAUUACUGAGUUAAGGCCAAACUUUUAUUUUUGAAAUAAGCGUAGUUUUUUGUUUUUUUUGUUAAAUAAUUGCCGAGCUCUGCAGUGCUUCUCACAGAGUGAAUAUUUUAAAAAAUACUGUGAAAAGAGAUGGGACCAAAAGAAAAUCAAAACAAAGAACAGCCGACAAGGGGAAGUAUCAGUGGAGAAUUGUUUUGAAUUAUAUUGUCAUCUAUUUAUUAAAAAACUGAAGCUGCGUCUGUAUCAUAAUGGUAUUUGUUUUCAUUAAUAAUUACAUUAUGUAUAAAAGUAACAGUAAUAAUAGUAAUUCUUUUUUCUUUUUUUUUUCAAAUCACUGCUGUCUGUACUGCCUCAGCAGUGAGGCUUAAUAAUCCAAACAGAGCGUGAGUUAUUCCAGGAUGCUCUGGCUGUAAAACAUUUUCUCUAACAGCCCUUUGAAAAAUAGGUAAAGAUUUGUUGAUUGAGGCAGCCUUUAGUGGGCCUUUUGCUCCGAUGACUACAACAAUUACAUGAUUUUUCUUCCCCAUCUGAGAUGUGAAAAUUCGCAGCUUGAUCGUUGUAUUUUCUAUAUAUGCUUUAUUUAAUUUCCUAUGCAGGGCAAACAGAUGAACACACACUUUUAGGGGUGCCUAUACUGUACGUGUGCGGUUUAUUCAAAUGCCCACACUUAAGGUCUGUGUAAGGUCUCUUUAGUUGUGUUCUUAAUCAGUCGCGUGUGUGUGUGUUUGUGUGUUCGCGCAAGGCUGCUGGUUGUGCAAAUGCUUCUGUCACACACAAUGUGUGUGCAGGCCUUUAUGCAUAUUCUGUAUCCACGUAAUUGUAGUGUACUGUCCAAUUGCAACAUGAGUGCAUGGGUUUGUGUUUGCAGUAUAAUUUAUGCGUCUUUACGCUGCGUUUCUGACUUGUGUGGUUCCCAAGCAAAGAACAGUGGUGAUGACAUAGCUUGGACAGCAGGCCUGUCAGUCACAGAGUGAAGCAGUUCUGACUAGAAACGUCAAUGUGAAGAGAAAAAAAAGUGAAAGUAUAAAAAGUUUACUGUGUCGUGUAGUGUUGUUUCAGUGGUGUAAGUAAAAAAAACAAAAAAAAAACAACUGCUCACAUUCUUGUUGACACCAUAAAUCACAGAUUAAUGAUGAUUAUGACAUCAAUUAAUUUUAAAAAGAGAAUACAGAAGAGAAAAUAAAAUGUAUAUACAAAGCAUAUAAUGGCAUCAUAGAAAAGUAGGGCUUGGUAAGUCAAGAGAAAGAGAAAGAGAGAGAGAGAGAAGAGUCAGUAUGUACUGUAUGUGUUUUACAUUCACACCCUUUCAUGGUUAUUGUAGCAAAAAAAAAAGAAAAGAGAGAGAGCGAUGGGGAGAAAAAAAUUGAUUAUUCAUUAUUCUCCAGAACUGAUUAUGCAUGCAGUAAUGAAAAUGCUAACGUAUUGCCAUCCAGUAGUUCCGAGUAAAGUAUUACUUCAAAUAAACAUUCUGUUUCCCAGUGCCGGGCUUUGUGAAUAAAUGGAACGGCGGAGGAACAGAGGGGCUGAUUGGGUGCAGAUGUGAGCUCCAGUCUGGGUUUGGUUAGGGUCCCGCUGCCAGGAAUAUUCGCUCCAAUUCAAUAAAUAGAGCUGUUAGGAGCGAGGCAUUUCCUUGUCACCAUGUCAAGGUUUCAGAGCGGAUGUUUCACACUGGGUGUUUUCACUCUGUCUAUACUGUAUCUAAUGCAGCGCCUGCAGUGUGCACCCAGCUCGGCAUGACACACUGUAACCUGAGAAUGCUGCCAUUGAAAAGCUGCAGACGCAGAGUAAACGAUGAGUUUGAACUUGACUUCAGAUUGGAUGUGUUUCAGUAUUUUGUGAGGGUUUUUUUUGGACAUGUAAGUCAGUAUGGGGUUCACAAAUGUUGCUCCUGUUCAAAUAAAUAAAAAAAGAAAAUGUGUUUGAGGGAAAUUCAACUAUUCCUGUAUAAAUGAUAUUUUAAUUUCAGCUACAUUAGAUACAUUUCAGGAUUUAUUUUUUUUUGCCCCAAAAGCCUAUACCUUGACAUGUAUAUCAAUUCAUUGUAAUUUGGUGCUACGAGGUCUUUCCAAAGUAUUAAUGGAUGCAAUUUAAAGACCUGCAUAUGUCUCCAACUAUACAGUUAUGAUUCACGUUUGGCUUGAAACUAAGAGCGAUGUAUCCUCUCUAAAAAAACAAAACAAGAGACGAGCAAUGUCAACCCAGUAGACCCAGUUUUGUAAGUGAAAAAUAGAUGGAAAUGAGCAAAUAAAGUGUGCACGUAAAAUUAAACUGUGGUGAAGUAUUUAAAGGUGACUUCAUCAGCCUCAUAUCACUUCACGUGCACUUUCAGCACGCCCAUGUCCUCAUCUCCUUUGCUGCUCCACGGCCCCCCCCGCCCUUCUCCCGCUCACUAAUCUGCCUCUGCUUUUUCCCUCUCCUCUCCUUUCCCCGCUUUUUUUCCUCCCCCUCUCUUCUCUCUCCUCCCCUGUGCCCAUCUGUGAGGUGAUCAAAUCGUCGUAUGGAGAAAUCCUGGUGAUCCAAGAGGGCCGGCCGGAAAGGUCACGGAGAGAGUCCGUAAAAUGGAUGAAGCCUAAUGAUUAGCUCAACCUUUACCUAAUCAAUAAUCAUUUAUCCAACAAUAUCACCGGCAGCCAUAGCCCCAUUUGCCAUUAACCUCGGUGGUGGGGAGAGAGGCAGUAUUGUUUCCUCUGGCAGCUUUAUGGCACUCAGAUGAGUGGUAGAGCCCAGGACGAAAGCUUAAGGUUGGAUCUUGAUGGCUCCGAUCCUAUUAAGGGACUGUAGGUAUUUUAGCGUAUAGCCGUGUCAUAUAAUUACCUUUCUGAAUGAUUGACUGUGACACUGGCCAUAGUGUUGAAAUGGUAGAAUAGGACAGCCUUUUUUAUUGAAGCAUAAAAUGACAAAGAGGCGUCCUUCGUUCAUGUUAAUAAUUAAGAGCUGGACUGUUGAAAUGAUGUUAAAAAAUAAUACAUUCCAAGAAGUGAGAUUUGCUACGUGUCAAACCAAACUUUUUUUCCCAGAAUGUGUAUUUUGUUCCCGUGAUGCAGUUUUAAGAGAGAAAUGGAUGUUGAUGUUAAAUGUAUCUUUUUAUUGCUUUUUUUAAAAAAAAGAAAGAAAAGAAUUGUAACAUA
This is a long non-coding RNA of Scophthalmus maximus (turbot), 6920 nucleotides long. RefSeq lists it as uncharacterized. The record is from RefSeq and is a predicted model, not a curated record. NCBI's taxonomy places the organism in Eukaryota, Metazoa, Chordata, Actinopteri, Pleuronectiformes, Scophthalmidae. The transcript is spliced from 5 exons.